CCGUAUUCUGCUCACGUCGGAUUGUGCUCCUAUUUCUAUUAAGAGAGAAAGACCAACCGCGUGUGGCUCAACGAAACUUUUGCUAACCCGGUCGAAUGUCUCUUGGGAGGAGACAAGGUGCGCGUGGCAGAUGUUAGGAGACCCUGUCCGGGGGUCCUUCGCUUGUGUUAACUCUCUCUCUAUCUCUUUCGCUCGGUCCCCGGGUGUUAAGCUCUUCACAGAGAGAGAGAGAGAGGAGCGAGCGAGGUUUGACCAGUCUGUGGCGAGGUCUGGAGGAGAAGGGUCGACUUUCUCCUGCACCUCGGUAUGUCCGUUCAUGGUGUCGGUACGUACGACCCGUUUCGUCGCUCGCUCUAUAAAAGGGGGGUUUCGAUCAACCUUUUGAGAGACGGCCCGGGUGCGUUCAAAGAGAUCUUGGUGGAGACGCCAAGCCGCCGACCAAAAAUCUUUCCCCGGUCGUCUAACUAAUUUUUUUUCUACACGAACAAGGACACAACUAGUUUGUUGCGAGCCGUCGUCUUUUCGACGGCCGUCUCACUUAAUAUGAAACGUUAACGUACGACCGUAGGCGUUGGAUCACUCGGCUCGU
This 589-nucleotide unclassified non-coding RNA is filed under the name Atalacmea multilinea. RNAcentral describes it as "partial miscellaneous RNA". The record is from RNAcentral. Lineage: Eukaryota; Metazoa; Mollusca; Gastropoda; Lottiidae.